UACUACGGAGAGUUUGAUCCUGGCUCAGGACGAACGCUGGCGGCGUGCUUAACACAUGCAAGUCUACGAGAAUAAGGUAGCAAUAUCUUUAGUAAAGUGGCGCACGGGUGAGUAACACGUAAGUAACCUACCUUUAGAUUUGGAAUAACCCAGAGAAAUCGGGGCUAAUACCGAAUGAUGCAGCGGCACCACAUGGUGAUGUUGUUAAAGUCUAUAUGACGUCUAAAGAUGGGCUUGCGUCUGAUUAGCUAGUUGGUGAGGUAACGGCCCACCAAGGCUACGAUCAGUAGCUGGUCUGAGAGGAUGAUCAGCCACACUGGAACUGAGACACGGUCCAGACUCCUACGGGAGGCAGCAGUGAGGAAUAUUGGGCAAUGCCCGAAAGGGUGACCCAGCAACGCCGCG
RNAcentral lists this ribosomal RNA (405 nucleotides) under Ignavibacteriaceae bacterium. RNAcentral describes it as "bacterial SSU rRNA". It matches the Rfam family "Bacterial small subunit ribosomal RNA", at positions 1 to 401 of the family's 1533-position model. The record is from RNAcentral. Lineage: Bacteria; Pseudomonadati; Ignavibacteriota; Ignavibacteria; Ignavibacteriales; Ignavibacteriaceae.